GAUGAAGGAACGUAGCGAAAUGCGAUAAGUAAUGUGAAUUGCAGAAUUCAGUGAAUCAUCGAAUCUUUGAACGCACAUUGCGCCCCUUGGUAUUCCGAGGGGCAUGCCUGUUCGAGCGUCAUUUUGACCACUCCCGCUUGCGGGGUCUUGGGCCUUCGCCUCUGGGCGGGCCUUAAAAUCAGUGGCGGUGCCGUCCGGCUCUAAGCGUAGUAAAUCUCCUCGCUAUAGGGUUCCGGAGGGAUGCUGGCCAACAACCCCCAACUUUUAAGGUUGACCUCGGAUCAGGUAGGGAUACCCGCUGAACUUAAGCAUAUCAAUAAGCGGAGGA
This 328-nucleotide unclassified non-coding RNA is filed under the name soil metagenome. Its description in RNAcentral is "partial contains 5.8S ribosomal RNA, internal transcribed spacer 2, and large subunit ribosomal RNA". The stretch from base 1 to 121 matches the Rfam family "5.8S ribosomal RNA", at positions 35 to 154 of the family's 154-position model. The record is from RNAcentral.